UCAUUUUGCUGGAUCAGGUCACAUAUGGUUAAAUAUAUAAUAUUUUUAAUAUAGUAUUUAAUAAGAAUUGACUGCACAUUUUUAUUACUUUCUUGUAGGGAGAUUUAUCCUCCACCUUGUGAACAGGUCUCCCUCUUUCCCAAUCAUGAGGAUAGUUGAAUAUCUAAGAAGAGUUCUUUCUUCUUCAACCUUCAACUUUCAACUACUCAAUGAUCAAGAUCAUCACUGUGUGUUUCAACAGCUGAAAACGUGCUACGUUGAGCGCCAGUCGUCAUCCUAACAUCAAGCUCCACUCGUCAUCACGACGGUAAUCCCCAAAACUCCAACAGAACAAAAAUUUUUCUAAAUCUUAAACAAUAACAAUGAUUCAUUUUUAACAGUAGGCAUAUUUUAAAAUCCAUAGUUUGAUAGCAUAUUUAAAUUCAUGACAUUUCAACAGCUAGUAAUAAUAAUAAUACAUUUCUAUUGUAAGAACAGCUAUUGUGGUGAUGCGAGUUACGUUGUCACAGGUGAAGAUAAUGAGGAAAUUAAAUUGCUACAUUAUGAGACACAAUUGUUCUGAUCCUUCAAAAGUGGACAAAAAAGCAUAUUCAAGACAAGGGGGUAAAAUGACAAUCAAAAUAAAUCUAUUUCGACUGUCACUUGAAGUGAAAUGUGAAAUGUGUUGCGGUAUUACAUGAAUGCUCACGUACUAUGCGUUGAUCAUUACAACCAAUCGCACUGUUGAGCUCAGAAGGCAAUAACCAAUCAGAUGAGUUUAGAUUAGUUACCGGUGAAGAAAUUUUUUUUUACUGAUAUCGAGGGAGUUUUUGUCACUUUCGCGCCAUGUGCUCAGUCAGUGACGCAGGACUUUCUGAGGGGAAUUUCAGUCAGUGUGUGACGCACUCUAAAUAGGCUACUGCGCGUGGAAAAGUGCAGAUACAAUGCAAGUGUGGCCAUCUGUGUCCCUCUGGCGUGAUGAGGCCCUGCUCGAGUGGAGUUUGGAACUCAGACCUGCUGCCAAAUACUGAAUACAUCAAAAACUGCAGAUAGGAUCCAAAGAAAAGAUGAAGAAUGGAAAAGCACUUUGCUGGCAAAGAAAUUGGAAAAUAACACAGGUUACGCGCAUGUAUCCAUGGCAACGCUUGGCUGCGUCGACAGUUAACGGUCCUGCCGGUGAUUUUCUCAGAUGAGGCCUUGAGUAUUCUCUUUCGUCGGUCAAAAAGGUUAGAAGCCAUCGAAAAAACUGCCAUCGGACUACCACAGCUGACAACGAGAGACGCGCGUGCACAACUGCAUAACACACACACACACACACACACACACACACACACACACACACACACACACACACACACGGAAAGAGCACAACAAUUAUGAAACUGCUCAUUUAUUAUAAAUAAAUAAAUGUAUUUUUCUCCUUACAACGUGUUUGUGUUCUUUUGUUAACCUAGAAGUAAAAUAAAAAACAAUAAGAGGACUUAAUCGAAAGUCCCCUAAACGUCCCGAAUGGCCGUUGAACGUCCUGUGAACGUCCCCGUGAACGUCCGGAGGACGACUUUGCGGACGUCCCCGGGACAGCCAGAGGACCCUACACAUGGACGUUCGGGGGACGUUCGCAGAGGCCAUUCAGGGGACGUUCUGGGGACGUUUUUUUGUUAGCUGGGAUAUUACUUCUAUAUAAGUAUUACAUUAAUACAAUUUCAAUUAAAUGUUUGUUUAUAAAAAAAAAAAGAAAGUAAGAGAGAGAAAAUAUUACACUUAGUACAGCUAGUAAUUUAAUUUUAAAAUUAAAAUUGUUUAAUGGUCUAACUUAUGUUUAACAUGCUUGGUAGCAUUAAGAUCAGAGCACCUUUAAUUUAUGAUAGGGAGGUGGUGAUAAAUCACAUCAGACUUAAUGAUUAUUUAAAUUAAUUUUAUAUAAUUCAUGAAAGAAAACGCAAAGCAAAAUGUAUUAAAAAUGUAUUAAAAUGAACAUGAACUUGACUAAUUUAAUAAAAAAUGAAACAAGUAAAAUACUGAACAUUUAUGUAAAUUGUAAAUUUAAAAUUAACAUGAACUUGAGUAAACUUUAAAAAAAAAAAAAAUGAAACUAUUAAAAAAAUAGAAACACAACAAAAACUACAACAACAACAACAAAAAAAGAUUAUUCUAAAUUACUCAAACAUUUCACCCUCCAUGGCAUCCCCCAACAGUUCAAUAUGUUGCACAAUAUAUUUAUUGUGAGACAAUUUUAACAUUAUGGGGAGCUCAUCAGCACCAAUGUCCAUUGAUAUUUCUUCUGGGACACUGUACUCAUCAUAGGUGUCGGAGAGAAGCACCAUGGCACCUCCAUCUUCUGCCGAGACACCUACAAUGGUGACCACCUCCUCGACAGUUUGAAGUUCAGCCUUCUGAAAUGUAACAAUAUAAACAAGUCUCAGUAAAGGCGCUAUAUAACAAUGGACAUGAACACUAUUAAUGUUAGUUGACUACCUAAGUUAACAUGAUCUAACAAUGAAAAUACUUCUAAAACAUUUAUUAUUCUUCAUUAAUGCUUAGUUCAACAUUUACUAAAACACUAUCAAACUGAAAGUUGUGUAACUGUUGUAUUUUGUUGAUUAACAUCUGUAACAAAUAUUAAUAAGUACUGUAACAAAUGUGUUGCUCAGUGUUAAUGUAUAGUCAAUUCAUUAACAUUAAUAGGGCCUUAUUAUAUAGUGUUACCAAUAUUAUGAAAAUACCAAUGGAUAUAUAAAAAGUUCAAAAAUGUAUAUCCCCUUGGUACACAACUCACAAGUGUAGAAAGAUGAAGGAAAAAUCAAUUGGAGAAUAAUUUGGCUACAUGAUGCGUAAUGUAUGCUGUGUACCUCCACAGUUGUAUAGCUCGAGGAGUUAAAUUUGGCAGCAGGUUUGAGUGUUGCCUUGAGAUGUGAAAUCUCAACCUGAUCUCCCAAACUCAUCUCAUGAAGGGCCUCAUCACGCCAGAGGGAGACCUCGAAGCACUUCUGGCCACACCUCAGAGACAGGUCUCUGAUGGGGACCUCCCCAUCGGUCACCCGUGUCAUCCUGAUUACCUGCAACUACAUGAUCACAAUGGGAGAUGAAUCCUCCCCUUGUGAAAAGGUCGUCCUCUUCCCCUGUCACGAGGGCUGUUGGAGGACUGAGGAGAUCCGUCGCCUUCUUCUCCGCUGCCUCUGGCACGGUGAAAGGUGCUGUUUUAAAUUUCUUUGCCCCAGGGCCAAGAAAAAUACACUCCCGACCGAAUUUUAAGGACAAGACCUCAUAGGUCUUCGCACGGUGGUUUGUGCGAUUGUUCACACACAUGAGCUUGGUGGGAGUGGGCCUGCUGUAUGGAGAGCUUGCAGCUGCCAUUCUGGAGGGUAAGAGAAAAUACACAUUGAUUUAAUUAGCAUCAGAAGUGAAAGA
Megalobrama amblycephala (Wuchang bream) is the source of this 3387-nucleotide long non-coding RNA. RefSeq lists it as uncharacterized. The record is from RefSeq and is a predicted model, not a curated record. The transcript is spliced from 7 exons. NCBI's taxonomy places the organism in Eukaryota, Metazoa, Chordata, Actinopteri, Cypriniformes, Xenocyprididae.